RNAcentral lists this ribosomal RNA (476 nucleotides) under uncultured bacterium. Its description in RNAcentral is "partial 16S ribosomal RNA". It matches the Rfam family "Bacterial small subunit ribosomal RNA", at positions 28 to 507 of the family's 1533-position model. The record is from RNAcentral.
GAUGAACGCUGGCUACAGGCUUAACACAUGCAAGUCGAGGGGAAACGACGGGGAAGCUUGCUUCCCCGGGCGUCGACCGGCGCACGGGUGAGUAACGCGUAUCCAACCUGCCUCUGACUGAGGGAUAACCCGUCGAAAGUCGGCCUAAUACCUCAUGGCAUCGUCUGCGGGCAUCCAACGACGAUUAAAGAUUUCAUCGGUCAGAGAUGGGGAUGCGUCUGAUUAGCUUGUUGGCGGGGUAACGGCCCACCAAGGCGACGAUCAGUAGGGGUUCUGAGAGGGUGACAGGCCAGAUUGGGAAGGAGAGACUGCCCAGACUACUGCGGGAGGCAGAUGUGGGGAAUAUUGCACGAUGGGCGGAAUCCUGAUGCAGCAACGCGGCGGGCGGGAUGACGGCCUUCGGGUUGUAAACCGCAUUCGCCUGUGACGACGCGUGAGUGACGGUAAUGGGUAGAGAAGAACCGGCUAACUACGUC